Molecule: ribosomal RNA, 1053 nt
Filed under: Triticum aestivum (bread wheat)
Lineage: Eukaryota; Viridiplantae; Streptophyta; Magnoliopsida; Poales; Poaceae
Description: partial small subunit ribosomal RNA
Source: RNAcentral
AUGACCGAGGCGUGCUGCAAAACUGCAAUCGUGCACACACUUCGCUUCCGCUCGUCGGAAACUCGACCGCGCGCGACUGCGGCCAUGGAUCCGGACACCGAGGUCGACUUCGACUUCUCGCCGUUCCUCAUCCGCUACAAGAGCGGCCGCGUCCACCGUCUCAUGGGCGCGUCGAGAGUCGACGCCGGCACGGAAGCCGCCACAGGCGUCACCUGCAAGGACGUCGUCAUCGACGCCGAUGCCGGCCUGGCCGCGCGGCUGUACCUGCCGAAGGACGUGCCCCGGUCCGAGAAGCUCCCCGUCCUCGUCUACUUCCACGGGGGCGCCUUCGCCGUCCACUCGGCCUUCUCCGGCACGCACUACCGCUUCCUCAACGCCCUCGUGGCCGCGGCCGGCGUCGUCGCCGUCUCCGUUGACUACCGCCUCGCGCCAGAACACCCGCUCCCGGCCGCCUACGACGACGCGUGGGCCGCGCUCAGCUGGGCCCUGGCGAGCUGCGGCCCCGCCGGGCGGGAGCCGUGGCUGGCCGAGCACGGCGACUCCGCGCGCGUCUUCGUCGCGGGCGACAGCGCCGGCGCCAACAUCGCACACAACAUGGCAACAAGGGCCGGCAGCAGCGAGAACGGGCUGCCGGCGAGCGCGGAGAUCGAGGGGCUGGUGCUCCUGCACCCGUACUUCCGCGGCAAGGAUCUGGUGCCGUCGGAGGGGGCGGACCCCAGGUUCCUGCAGAGGGUGGAGAGGUCGUGGGGCUUCGUGUGCGCGGGGAGGUACGGGACCGACCACCCGUUCAUCAACCCGCUGGCGAUGCCGGCGGAGGAGUGGGCGGCGCUCGGCUGCCGGCGAGCACUUGUCACUGUGGCGGAGCUGGACACGAUGCGGGACAGGGGCCGGAUGUACGUGGAGGCGCUGAGGGGGAGCGCGUGGACAGGGGAGGAGGCGGUGCUGUACCAGACCGACGGCGAGGGGCACGUCUACUUCCUGGAGAAGUCCGGCUGGGGCGACAAGGCGGAGAGGGAGAUGGGCGCCGUCGUCUCGUUCAUCAGGCGGAGCUAA